This 468-nucleotide ribosomal RNA is filed under the name uncultured bacterium. RNAcentral's name for it is "partial 16S ribosomal RNA". It matches the Rfam family "Bacterial small subunit ribosomal RNA", at positions 28 to 507 of the family's 1533-position model. The record is from RNAcentral.
GACGAACGCUGGCGGCGUGCUUAACACAUGCAAGUCGAACGGAAAGGCCCUGCUUUUGUGGGGUGCUCGAGUGGCGAACGGGUGAGUAACACGUGAGUAACCUGCCCUUGACUUUGGGAUAACUUCAGGAAACUGGGGCUAAUACCGGAUAGGAGCUCCUGCUGCAUGGUGGGGGUUGGAAAGUUUCGGCGGUUGGGGAUGGACUCGCGGCUUAUCAGCUUGUUGGUGGGGUAGUGGCUUACCAAGGCUUUGACGGGUAGCCGGCCUGAGAGGGUGACCGGCGACAUUGGGACUGAGAGACGGACCAGACUCGAACGGGAGACAGCAGGGGGGAAUAUUGCACAAUGAGCGGAAGCCUGUGGCAGCAACGCCGGGUGCGGGAUGACGGACAUCGGGGUGGAAACCGCUUUAGGCUGUGACGAAGCGUGAGUGACGGUAAUAAGUAAAGAAGCACCGGCUAACUACAUG